RNAcentral lists this ribosomal RNA (497 nucleotides) under uncultured bacterium. RNAcentral describes it as "partial 16S ribosomal RNA". It matches the Rfam family "Bacterial small subunit ribosomal RNA", at positions 28 to 507 of the family's 1533-position model. The record is from RNAcentral.
GAUGAACGCUGGCGGCGUGCCUAAUACAUGCAAGUCGAGCGAACAGACGAGGAGCUUGCUCCUCUGACGUUAGCGGCGGACGGGUGAGUAACACGUGGAUAACCUACCUAUAAGACUGGGAUAACUUCGGGAAACCGGAGCUAAUACCGGAUAAUAUAUUGAACCGCAUGGUUCAAUAGUGAAAGACGGUGUUGCGGUCACUUAUAGAUGGAUCCGCGCCGCAUUAGCUAGUUGGGAAGGUAACGGCUUACCAAGGCAACGAUGCGUAGCCGACCUGAGAGGCUGAUCGGCCACACUGGAACUGAGCCACGGUCCAGACUCCUACGGGAGGCAGCAGUAGGGAAUCUUCCGCAAUGGGCGAAAGCCUGACGGAGCAACGCCGCGUGAGUGAUGAAGGUCUUCGGAUCGUAAAACUCUGUUAUUAGGGAAGAACAAAUGUGUAAGUAACUAUGCACGUCUUGACGGUACCUAAUCAGAAAGCCACGGCUAACUACGUG